UACGUAGGGUGCAGGCGUUAAUCGGAAUUACUGGGCGUAAAGCGUGCGCAGGCGGUUUCUUAAGUCAGAUGUGAAAGCCCCGGGCUUAACCUGGGAACUGCGUUUGAAACUGGGGGACUUGAGUGUGGCAGAGGGGGGUGGAAUUCCACGUGUAGCAGUGAAAUGCGUAGAGAUGUGGAGGAACACCAGUGGCGAAGGCGACUCUCUGGUCUGUAACUGACGCUGAGGCGCGAAAGCGUGGGGAGCAAACAGG
RNAcentral lists this ribosomal RNA (253 nucleotides) under uncultured bacterium. RNAcentral describes it as "partial 16S ribosomal RNA". It matches the Rfam family "Bacterial small subunit ribosomal RNA", at positions 524 to 776 of the family's 1533-position model. The record is from RNAcentral.